This is a long non-coding RNA of Oncorhynchus tshawytscha (Chinook salmon), 1958 nucleotides long. NCBI's taxonomy places the organism in Eukaryota, Metazoa, Chordata, Actinopteri, Salmoniformes, Salmonidae. The record is from Ensembl.
AGAUAGGUUAAUAAGGAAGACUGUUGAUUCUUCAAACAACAACUUUAUUAUAAGAUCUGCAAAACUUGGAGUGGUUAACAAUCCACUCAACAGUGCAGAGUUAAGAGCCCAACAAACAGAGUUGUCUCUGCUUUUAUAGAAAGUACAAUCUCCUUUUCUUCGUGACAGUUUAGCAGAUGUGUGGAAAAAGGGGCGGAACAGAUUAUAAAAGGCGUUUGGUUUGUCUGUGCUGAUUCAGAUAGAGGUUGAUAGCACGAGGGCUCAACUGUCUAACUCUGUCACAGUUCACACGAAAAUGUGCUCCUGUCUGCAAGUUUCCAAACAGCUGACUUCCUGCAGAUAGUAAAACCAUGGGAUGUCUCACAUGCUGCGUGUGCACCCAAAUGGAUCUUAGCUAUACGCCCAGUCUUAUGACUAAGUCACACAAAGACAAGUUUUAUCAGGUUAGAAAAAAACACUAACAUAUAACAAGAGACAAUUCUCUAAGUAGUAAACACAGGAUAUCAUGAAUCAUUUUGUAAUUUUCCCCCUACAAUCCACAAAGACCAAGAAACAUCUUGUCCCUGUUUGUUCCUUGUUCCAAGGACUUUACAGUGCACUAACCAAAGCACGGCAUUGAGUAAACUUUGAAUAAGGCAUGACAUAAGUCUCUUUCUAACCUGCAUUCUAACUAUUAAGUUAGUGAAAGGCCUGCAUUGUAAGUAGACCUGCAUUUUAACUACUUAUGUAGAGAAAAGACCUGCAUUCUAACUACUAAUGUAGUGAAAAGACCUGCAUUCUCUGUAAACUGGUCAUCUCUGUACACCUGUCACAAGAUCGACUGGUUAUGCUUAUUUAUAAAACCCUCUUAGGCCUCACUCCCAAGUAUCCAAGAUAUCUACUGCAGCCCUCAUCCUCCACAUACAACACCCAUUGUGCCAGUCACAUUCUGUUAAAGGUCCAGAAAGCACACACAACCCUGGGUCACUCGUCUUUUCAGUUCGCUGCAGCUAGAGACUGGAAAGAGCUGCAACAAACACUCAAACUGGACAAUUUUAUCUCAAUCUCUUCAUUCAAAGACUCAAUCAUGGAAACUCUUACUGACAGCUGUGGCUGCUUUGUGUGAUGAAUUGUUGUCUCUACCUUCUUGCCCUUUGUGCUGUUGUCUGUGCCCAAUAAUGUUUGUACCAUGUUUUGUGCUGCUACAAUGCUGUGUUGCUACCAUGUUGUUAUCAUGUUGUAUUGGUGUCAUGUUUUGUUGCUACCAUGCUGUGUUGUCAUGUCUCUCUUUAGGUAGUGUUGUGUUGUCUCUCUUGUCGUGAUGUGUGUUUUGUCCUAUAUUUAUAUAUAUAUAUAUUUAUUUAUUUUUAAUCCCAGCCCCGUCCUCGCAGGAGACGCUUUAACAUUUGGUAGGCCGUCAUUGUAAAUAAGAAUUUGUUCUUAACUGACUUAAAUAAAGGUGAAAUAAAAUAAAUAAAUACAAUUCUAACUAAUAAUGUCGUGUAAAGACCUGCAUUCUAACUACUAUAACUACUGUUGGACAAAAUGCCAUGCUACACUAAUGUUAGGCUAAAACAACAAAUAAUACAGGUUUCAUGAGGGAUAGGGUUAAUGCAUGUAUCAUAAGGCAGUUGUUAGUGGAGCUUCUGUUCCCAGUGGAUCACUAGCCACACCCUUGGUUUCAUGGUUCCUCUUAUAACUGCUCUCUGUACCAAUACUACAUAAGGCUGCAUAAUAUGAAGGAACACAUUUUGAGCAGCUACAAGUACCAGCAUCAGUCCGGGUUUGGCUAGUCAUUACUGACAAGAUUCUCCAUUUGACAUGUUAUUUAGAUUAAACCUGGCCUCAAUUUAGUUGGCUUCAACAUGCAACAUACAUUCAUACACACACACACACACACACACACACACACACACACACACACACACACACACACACACACAUACACACACACAUACACACAUACACACAUACAUACA